Molecule: long non-coding RNA, 1810 nt
Organism: Vicia villosa (hairy vetch)
Lineage: Eukaryota; Viridiplantae; Streptophyta; Magnoliopsida; Fabales; Fabaceae
Exons: 3
Source: RefSeq, a predicted model, not a curated record
CAUGGCAUCAAGAAGAUCGAAGAAAGGUUAAAGAACUACUUACCUACCGGAGUAGCUCCGAUGCCUCUUCGACGAUUGUAUGCUGGCAAAAUAAACGUGAGGGGAACUUCGGUUUCAGAGUGUGAGGGAGGUACGAGCUGAUGAAGAGAGAAGUUGCAGAGGAUGACUUGUAAGUAGGAGGAUGGAGGCCGAGCUCAAGCUUAAUCGGAGCUCCGAUUGUGGAGCUCCAAUGGCUUCUGAAAACCGAGCGUAUAGUGAGGGUAAUUGGAGAGAGAGGUUGGAGAGAGUGAAUUUGCAAAGAUAUGAGGGUUGAGUGAUGAAGACGAUGAGAUGAAUAUGGAGAGUGGUUGGAGUGUGGAGAUAAAGAAGAAUGGGGAGAAUAAAAAAUGGAAGUUGAAGGUGAGUAAAAUGGUGGCAAGGGUAUGGAAAUAGUGAUGAGUGAAGCAGAGAAAUGGUGGAGUGGAGAUGAAGGUUGGAAGAUUCUGAAAUGGAGAGCGCAUUGAGAGAGUGAAGUGAAGAUGAUGAAGAUGGAAGAGUUGUGGUGGAGAGGAGAAGAAGAAUGGUUGAGGGAAUGGUGAAGUAAGGAAAAAUGGGGUGGAGAAUGGAAGCAGAGAAAUGGUGGAGUGGAGAUGAAGAUGAUGAUGAGUGAAGCAGAGAAAUGGUGGCAAGGGUAUGGAAAUGGUAGAGAGGAAGCUUGAAUGAAAGAGAGGUUAAAUUUAUAUAGAAUGAGAGUGAGAGGAUUCAGUUAGAGGAGAGUGAUUGUGAGCCCUUGGAUUGAGUUUCUGUUAUGAACUUUGAUGAUGAGGAUUGAAGGUUGGAAAUAGGGCUGUAGCUUAGAGGAGCUAUCGAGACCGUUUCCUUUUUUCCUUGAAGGGCUGAUUUAGAGAUGUUGCAAGUUAAGUGUAUCAUGAAUGGUAAGGAGAGCUGCAGAUUGUAUUUUGUUGAACUGUUUGGAUUUGAACUUGUUGCAUAGAACUGAUGGCUGAAUAUGGUGAUAUGAAGUGACUGAGUGCAGGGUUAGUAUUAGUAUGAAUGACAUUGGAUGAUGGUUUAAUGGGUUAGAAACGCUUAAGCAGAAAUUAUAUGUGGGUGAUUUGAACGUUUGGAUUUGUCAUGAGUGAGUUUUCGGUCUUUCUGGAGUUAAUCGUUGUGUUUUUUCUUAUUCAUCGGACUUUGCCGUGACUCAGGUAUGCUUUUGGAUUUAUCUUGAAUUCGAAUGAAUAGGUUAAAGUAAUGUAUGUACAGUGAGUGAAUGUGUUUUAUUCUGAAAUGUAUGCUGAAUUGUAUGAUUGGUUUACAUUGCAGCAGGGAGCCCCCUUUUUUUUGUUUAUUUGCUGGUAGGUAACAGUUGGGAAGGUUGGUUUGCAGGAUUUUCGCCGAACCGGUUCUCUUAUAGUGCAGCAAUGAAUGCUAGCUUCGAUUCUUGUUUGCUGCUGUUUUUUUCUUUAUUUAACUCGUAGCAGGUAUGUUUGUGAUGCUACGACUUCGAACAAGCCACAGAGUUAUCAAGGAAGCAUGAAAGCUUGGAAAAUAGGAGGAUGGUGCAGGCGUGAGCGUGAGCAUUUUUCUGUCAUGGGGCAUGUAUUGGAUGUUUAUUGAUGGCUGCAGAAAGCUCUCUUUUUUGGUUUGAAUUGAUGUAAUCUUUCCCUUGCAGUUUGCAGUACCUUUGUAAUAAAUUAGGACUAUAGUAAUUAGUUUGUAAGCUUGGAACUUUGAUGUGUGAAUGGUAAAUGAUGCAGACUUUCAUAAGCUUGUAAUAAGCCUUAUCUUGUAAUGAAUCAUGAUAGCCAUUUGAAUGAACUUUGCACAU